GCUGUCGUCAGCUCGUGUUGUGAAAUGUUGGGUUAAGUCCCGCAACGAGCGCAACCCUUAUCCUUUGUUGCCAGCGGUCCGGCCGGGAACUCAAAGGAGACUGCCAGUGAUAAACUGGAGGAAGGUGGGGAUGACGUCAAGUCAUCAUGGCCCUUACGACCAGGGCUACACACGUGCUACAAUGGCGCAUACAAAGAGAAGCGACCUCGCGAGAGCAAGCGGACCUCAUAAAGUGCGUCGUAGUCCGGAUUGGAGUCUGCAACUCGACUCCAUGAAGUCGGAAUCGCUAGUAAUCGUGGAUCAGAAUGCCACGGUGAAUACGUUCCCGGGCCUUGUACACACCGCCCGUCACACCAUGGGAGUGGGUUGCAAAAGAAGUAGGUAGCUUAACCUUCGGGAGGGCGCUUACCACUUUGUGAUUCAUGACUGGGGUGAAGUCGUAACAAGGUAACCGUAGGGGAACCUGCGGUUGGAUCACCUCCUUA
This 485-nucleotide ribosomal RNA is filed under the name Escherichia coli. RNAcentral describes it as "bacterial SSU rRNA". It matches the Rfam family "Bacterial small subunit ribosomal RNA", at positions 1048 to 1533 of the family's 1533-position model. The record is from RNAcentral. RNAcentral also lists the same sequence under 5 other names. Lineage: Bacteria; Pseudomonadati; Pseudomonadota; Gammaproteobacteria; Enterobacterales; Enterobacteriaceae.